AAUACCAGCCCUUCCCUUGCCGACCACUUUGCCUCCCAUUAAUAAGGUGUGUCGGGACACUUAGCGGGACUGGUGUCAACAACUUGGUUUGAGUGCUAAUGGCAAGAAAAUAGAAGUUUAUCUGAGGCUCCGUAGGCGUGCUUUCCCUGAACAACAGCAAGAUACGCCUGAAACAUCACAUAAGACCAGAUUACAGCGAUGCUCGAGAAAACACAAGGCAGUGACCGAGAGAGCAAGAGGCUUCAGAAAAGUUAUGAGAUGAAUGAAAGAACAGAGAGACUAAUAUAGUUGAAGUGAUAACUUCAGUGCAGGCAUCCAUGUUGGCAUCAUGGGCAAGAAUUGGUGCAAGAGCUGUUCAGCCAAAGGCUGUAAAUUCAUGUUCCAUUCCUGUUUCUGUUGAGGCCUUUUGGAUGCAAACCUCUGAUGUCAGGUGGUGUGUGGUCCAUGGCAGACGUCUCUCAGCAGACACAAAGAGCUGGGUACACCUGCAGUUUCAUGCAGAUCAGGCCUGGGUGCCUACCACUCACAGGAGGAUGAUUUCUCUCUUCUUGUUACCUGCCUGCAUUUUCCCAUCCCCAGGCAUAGAAGAUAACAUAUUAUGCCCCAACUGUGCUAAGAGGAAUAAGAAGAUGAUGAGAAGAUUAAUGACAAUGGA
This 655-nucleotide long non-coding RNA is filed under the name Homo sapiens (human). Its description in RNAcentral is "non-protein coding lnc-CPN2-6:2". Lineage: Eukaryota; Metazoa; Chordata; Mammalia; Primates; Hominidae. The record is from RNAcentral.